This 496-nucleotide ribosomal RNA is filed under the name uncultured bacterium. RNAcentral describes it as "partial 16S ribosomal RNA". It matches the Rfam family "Bacterial small subunit ribosomal RNA", at positions 28 to 507 of the family's 1533-position model. The record is from RNAcentral.
GACGAACGCUGGCGGCGUGCCUAAUACAUGCAAGUUGAGCGAUGAAGAUUGGUGCUUGCACCAAUUUGAAGAGCAGCGAACGGGUGAGUAACGCGUGGGGAAUCUGCCUUUGAGCGGGGGACAACAUUUGGAAACGAAUGCUAAUACCGCAUAACAACUUUAAACAUAAGUUUUAAGUUUGAAAGAUGCAAUUGCAUCACUCAAAGAUGAUCCCGCGUUGUAUUAGCUAGUUGGUGAGGUAAAGGCUCACCAAGGCGAUGAUACAUAGCCGACCUAGAGGGUGAUCGGCCACAUUGGGACUGAGACACGGCCCAAACUCCUACGGGAGGCAGCAGUAGGGAAUCUUCGGCAAUAGACGAAAGUCUGACCGAGCAACGCCGCGUGAGUGAAGAAGGUUUUCGGAUCGUAAAACUCUGUUGGUAGAGAAGAACGUUGGUGAGAGUGGAAAGCUCAUCAAGUGACGGUAACUACCCAGAAAGGGACGGCUAACUACGUG